This 50-nucleotide non-coding RNA is filed under the name Trichobilharzia regenti. The record is from RNAcentral. Lineage: Eukaryota; Metazoa; Platyhelminthes; Trematoda; Strigeidida; Schistosomatidae.
GUACUGCUGAAGAGUCCCAAACUAGGACGUAGGAAACAGCUGUCUAGUAC